Molecule: small nuclear RNA, 100 nt
Organism: Vicugna pacos (alpaca)
Lineage: Eukaryota; Metazoa; Chordata; Mammalia; Artiodactyla; Camelidae
Source: Ensembl
GUGCACAUUUAGGGAAAGCACAUAUACUAAAACUGGAAUGAUACAUUAGCAUGGCCCCUGAGCAAGAUGCACACAUAUUCAUGAAGCGAUUCAGCAUAAG